This 492-nucleotide ribosomal RNA is filed under the name uncultured bacterium. RNAcentral describes it as "partial 16S ribosomal RNA". It matches the Rfam family "Bacterial small subunit ribosomal RNA", at positions 29 to 507 of the family's 1533-position model. The record is from RNAcentral.
AGUGAACGCUGGCGGUAGGCCUAACACAUGCAAGUCGAACGGCAGCACAGUAAGAGCUUGCUCUUACGGGUGGCGAGUGGCGGACGGGUGAGGAAUACAUCGGAAUCUACUUUUUCGUGGGGGAUAACGUAGGGAAACUUACGCUAAUACCGCAUACGACCUACGGGUGAAAGCAGGGGAUCUUCGGACCUUGCGCGAUUGAAUGAGCCGAUGUCGGAUUAGCUAGUUGGCGGGGUAAAGGCCCACCAAGGCGACGAUCCGUAGCUGGUCUGAGAGGAUGGUCAGCCACACGGGAACUGAGACACGGUCCAGACUCCUACGGGAGGAAGCAGUGGGGAAUAUUGGACAAUGGGCGAAAGCCUGAUCCAGCCAUACCGCGUGGGUGAAGAAGGCCUUCGGGUUGUAAAGCCCUUUUGUUGGGAAAGAAAAGCAGCAGGUUAAUACCCCGCGGUUCUGACGGUACCCAAAGAAUAAGCACCGGCUAACUUCGUG